CUCAAUUUCCCUCGCUCCCCCCGAAUUCGAAAACGCUUUCUGUUGCGGAGGCUCCUUGAGAUGGUGAGGUUUAGGGCUGAGGGAGCCACUGGGGGUGGGAGGGAUUUGUGGCUGGUGGUGCUAGGUUCUCAGCUGGCUGCUCUUUGGCUCUUCCCCCCAGCUGUUCUUUACCCAGCUCCAGGUGGGGCUGAUCCAGCAGGUAAGUGGGUGAGAAGGUGGGUGGCAGGGGCCAGAUGCAGCCGGAUACUGAUCUGGUGCCCUCCUUUGCAGUGGAUGGUCCCCACCAUCCAGAAUUCCAUGAAGCCCUUCAAGGUGAGCAGCUGGGCUCUCCUGUGGCUGGGGUAGGUUGGGUGGGGGCCACAGCCGCUGAGGCAGCCUGUCUCUUCAGGAUAUGGACUACUCUCGAAUCAUUGAGCGCCUCCUGAAGCUCGCUGUGAGUACUAGCAGUGGGCAGGGUGGGGGAGCACAAGUGGCAGGUGGGCAUCUGGAACCUGGAGCCCCCUCCCUUACAGGUCCCAAAUCACCUCAUCUGGCUCAUCUUCUUCUACUGGCUCUUCCACUCCUGCUUGAAUGCUGUGGCGGAACUCAUGCAGUUUGGAGACCGGGAGUUCUACCGGGAUUGGUGGUGGGUGGCCUUGAGGGUGGCCCUGGGGACUGGGGUGGGCUGCAGCAUGCCUUGCUCACCCCAUUGUCUCUCAACAGGAACUCUGAGUCUGUCACCUACUUCUGGCAGAACUGGAACAUCCCCGUGCACAAGUGGUGCAGCAGGUGCGUGAGUGCUGUGUGUGCAUGUGUAGGAUGUAGGUGUGCACCUGGGCCUCUCCCUGUCCUAGGGCAUCAUCCUGUAGCCUCCUUCCCUUGCAGGCACUUCUACAAGCCCAUGCUACGCCGGGGUAGCAGUAGGUGGGUGGCCAGGACAGGGGUGUUCCUGGCCUCCGCCUUCUUCCACGAGGUCAGUGCUGUGAGGGCAUCCUGCCUCACCUCUGGGCAGGGGUGUAGCCACUGAGACAUUGAUGGCCUAUUCUCUCCUCACCCUAGUACCUCGUAAGCAUCCCCCUGCGAAUGUUCCGCCUCUGGGCGUUCACAGCCAUGAUGGCUCAGGUGAGCAACACCCCAAAUGCCUCACCCACCUGAACCCUGUGCCAAGCCCCAUUCCCUGUGGUUACUGCCUGCUGACCUUGGUCCUAUGUGUCCUCAGAUCCCAUUGGCCUGGAUUGUGGGCCGCUUCUUCCAGGGCAACUAUGGAAAUGCAGCUGUGUGGCUGACACUCAUCAUUGGGCAACCAGUGGCGGUGCUCAUGUAUGUCCAUGACUACUACGUGCUCAACUAUGAGGCUCCCACAGCAGGGGCCUGAACUGCCCAGGCUUGACUGCCCACAUCCAGGACAGACAGCCCUCCCUGCCUGUCCAAACCUGAGGGAACCUGGCUGCUGAGCCUUCCUCCUGCCCCAGGAGGCCUCUCUGCCCCUAUGGGGCUCCCUCCUGCUCCCCUUAGGGAUGGCAACAGUAGAGUCUGGCCCAGCUGGCAGGAGCCAGUGCCUUCUUUGGGAGUCUGUGCUGACUUGGGAAAGAGGGUGCCAAUAAAGUGCUGUCUAGAGUGACUCUCCCCUCAGCCUCCUGGGGGCUACUGGGAGGGAUGGUCCAG
This 1644-nucleotide long non-coding RNA is filed under the name Marmota monax (woodchuck). The record is from RNAcentral. Lineage: Eukaryota; Metazoa; Chordata; Mammalia; Rodentia; Sciuridae.